Molecule: microRNA precursor, 70 nt
Filed under: Podarcis lilfordi (Lilford's wall lizard)
Lineage: Eukaryota; Metazoa; Chordata; Lepidosauria; Squamata; Lacertidae
Rfam family: mir-219 microRNA precursor family
About the family: The hairpin precursors (represented here) are predicted based on base pairing and cross-species conservation -- their extents are not known. In this case the mature sequence is excised from the 5' arm of the hairpin.
Source: RNAcentral
GCCACAGAUGUCCAGACACAAUUCUUGGUUAGUAUUCCUGAACAAGAAUUGCGUUUGGACAAUCAGAAGC